This 695-nucleotide ribosomal RNA is filed under the name uncultured Chloroflexota bacterium. Its description in RNAcentral is "bacterial SSU rRNA". It matches the Rfam family "Bacterial small subunit ribosomal RNA", at positions 158 to 872 of the family's 1533-position model. The record is from RNAcentral. Lineage: Bacteria; Bacillati; Chloroflexota.
GUUUGCUAAUACCGCAUACGCUCGGCGAUUCAUUUCGCCGCGUAAAGCCGCAAGGCGCUUUGAGAGGGGCCCGCGUCCCAUCAGGUAGUUGGUGAGGUAAUGGCCCACCAAGCCGAUGACGGGUAGCUGUUCUGAGAGGAAGAUCAGCCACACUGGCACUGAGAUACGGGCCAGACUCCUACGGGAGGCAGCAGUGAGGAAUAUUGCACAAUGGGCGAAAGCCCGAUGCAGCGACGCCGCGUGGGUGACGAAGGCCUUCGGGUCGUAAAACCCUUUUGGUGGGGACGAGUGAGGACGGUACCCAUCGAAUAAGUCUCGGCUAACUACGUGCCAGCAGCCGCGGUAAAACGUAGGAGGCGAGCGUUAUCCGGAUUCACUGGGCGUAAAGCGCGCGUAGGCGGUUUGGUAAGUCGGACGUUAAAGCCCCUGGCUCAACUGGGGGAGGUCGUUCGAUACUGCUUGGCUUGAGGAUGAGAGAGGAAAGUGGAAUUCCCGGUGUAGCGGUGGAAUGCGUAGAGAUCGGGAGGAACACCAGUGGCGAAGGCGGCUUUCUGGCUCAUUUCUGACGCUGAGAGCGCGAAAGCGUGGGGAGCAAACGGGAUUAGAUACCCCGGUAGUCCACGCUCUAAACGAUGAGGGCUGGGUGUUGGCAGGGUUACCUGUCUGUGCCGAAGCAAACGCGUUAAGCCCUCCGC